CAGCAGAAGAGGAGGAAGCUCAUAUGGAUCUGAAUUGCCUGUGAAAGGGCAGCACCUUCAUAUCUCAGCACAGGUUGAAUUGAGCCAUUUCUAUUGCUUGGGAGGCUUUCAGUCAGCAGAUCUGCUGGGCAUGCUGAGGCAUGGUUUCCCGACAGCCCUGGACAGAGAUUCAGGUUCAACAGGGAUCAAGAGAAGCUAAUCCAAGCUUUAAAUAUCAAGAGGACAUCACAUUUGGUCAGCUUUUUACAAGGCCAAUAUAUUGGCCAAGUAAGACCUUUUUUCUGGUUCAGCCUUACCUUCUAAGUACAGUCAGAGCAGCAGUAGGGGAUUUUCUAAGGAAGAAGGUUGAGGUGUGAGAUCAUGACAUCUUGGAAGCCAGUGGCAGAACUCUUCCUGACUUUGGCAAGACCAACACAACAAUGCACUUGCUGUGUCCUGAGCAGACAGGCCUUCAAAGCACCAUCAAAAGUAAACAGCUGGGAGGGGAAAGACCACUUCACCAGUUCACCAAUCAUCAUGUAUAGGAGGAGGAAGGAAAAGAAAAUGGAAGAAAAGAGAGUUUAUGGAUUGUGGAAGGAUAUUGAUUGCAAAAAUUAUUAUAAAAAAGGAGGAAAAAUCUUUUGGAGAGGAAUAUAUGCCGAUCUCUUUGCUGUAUUCAUCAACAGAUCAUGAAUAUGAAAGCUGUCAGUUUUUGAUAUCUUGAGAAAUUCAUAUAGAAUAAUCCAGCCAAUAUGUCACCUCUUAAUUGUGUGAUGCAUCCAAUUUUGAUCAAAUAUUACCAUAAUAAGCUUUGUGCCAAAGGAAAAAAGUUGCUGUUCUGAAGAGAGGCUGCUUUAUUGUCUGAAGUUCCAGAGAUGAACUAGAAUAAAAGACAUGGAUACAUCCCUGUUGAUAGUUUUCAUGUAAUUGUAUGCAUGGAAGCUAAACUAUCUCUUUAUUGCUAGUAAUAAAUAUUGAUGAGUGCAUUUUAAGAGUUGUCAUUAUAUCAGAGGCAAAUAACAAAGUCCAAAGACUUAAUAUACUUAAUUUUUUUCAGCCUUUCCUUGCAUAGCUCAUAGUAGA
This is a long non-coding RNA of Dromaius novaehollandiae (emu), 1062 nucleotides long. RefSeq lists it as uncharacterized. The record is from RefSeq and is a predicted model, not a curated record. NCBI's taxonomy places the organism in Eukaryota, Metazoa, Chordata, Aves, Casuariiformes, Dromaiidae. The transcript is spliced from 3 exons.